Molecule: ribosomal RNA, 253 nt
Filed under: uncultured bacterium
Lineage: Bacteria
Description: partial 16S ribosomal RNA
Rfam family: Bacterial small subunit ribosomal RNA
Source: RNAcentral
UACGUAGGGGGCAAGCGUUGUCCGGAAUCAUUGGGCGUAAAGCGUGCGUAGACGGUUAUUUAAGUCGGGUGUGAAAGCCCCGGGCUCAACCUGGGAAUUGCAUUCGAGACUGAAUAGCUAGGGUACGGUAGAGGGAAGUGGAAUUUCCGGUGUAGCGGUGAAAUGCGUAGAUAUCGGAAGGAACAUCAGUGGCGAAGGCGGCCUGCUGGGCUGUUGCUGACGCUGAGGCGCGACAGCGUGGGGAGCAAACAGG